RNAcentral lists this long non-coding RNA (1891 nucleotides) under Capsicum annuum. RNAcentral describes it as "long non-coding RNA (CANN_LNC004914)". Lineage: Eukaryota; Viridiplantae; Streptophyta; Magnoliopsida; Solanales; Solanaceae. The record is from RNAcentral.
UAGGCGGACUUUUUCCCCUCUUUCUUUCGCAAACAAAUCCUACAAUAUCCCCCCCCCCCAAAAUCGUCUCUCAAUUUUAAGCUUUCUUGCAGAUAUAUUGCAUCUCUGUCACUGUAUCAACGUCGAUCGGCGGUGUUAAAUCUUUGCUGGACUUAUCACUGUUUUUGUUAUUCUAUAUUUUGAUUUUUUAGGAACAUUUGUUUAAUUAAAUUCGACUUUAAUUGCAGUGAGAAAAUUUGAAAUUCGCCAGUUCCUUUGUGGACUAAGCGUGUUGUGAAUAACUUGGCAGGUAUGUUGUAAACGUUUGUAAAUAGAAAAUUUUCAUAAUUCCCAUGCAGGUGUAUUCACAGUAGCCAAUUUACACUAUUUUUUUUCUCAGUUUGCUAAUGAAUGAUAGUAUACAUGACCUUUUACUAUUAUGCUUAGAGUGUCUUUCAAUUGUAUAUUAGCUCUUUGUUUGCCUGAUACUGUAAAUUGUAUUGUCAUUUGAGUAAAAAAGUAAAAUCACUAGUAUCAAUUUGACUCUGCUUUAUCAAUGUGUGUGCGUGUGUUAUAUGUAUAUAAAAUUUGUUUCCAACUAAUUUCAUUUCCGUUUUGUGAGUUCCUUUGAAUUAUGUUUUGUAUCUGCUUCACGCAGUUUACGAGGGUAUUUUGUCGAGUUCCUUAGAGUUGUCUCGCGCUCUUAGUAUUCUCUUUCUCUACCUGCUUGAUUGGCCCUCGGGUUUUUAGUUGUGCUCCGGAGCAUUACGACAAUGGCUACUACCUAUACGAACCCAAAAAGGAAAAGAACGGGUUAAAAUACAACUUUUAUCUCAGUCUUGUCUUGCGACAAAUGUUUUCCUAAUGCCUUUUGUUCUCAGAAGGUUUCAUUUGCACCUGGACAAUGUCAACCCCAAAUUUUGAUCACCUAACUGUUUCACAUUAUCUUGAUCAUUGUAGAAUUGUCCAGCACUUGUACCUUAAAUUCAUACAUCAAACUUUUUUUUAAUGAAUUAUUCUUACUUCAUUAAUUGGUGGAUUAGACAAAUCUAUUACUAUCGCUAUAGCAAACUAGUCUAGAUUUAAUAGAUUAUUUCUAUACUAAUGCAUUAGCCUUGACUUUGUUAUCCUUUAUUUCGUCAUUGUGCAAGCUUUGUUUGCGAAAUAUAUAGGAGUAACUGUAAAAUUUUGUGAUGGUUGGUGCAAAUGACCAUAAAAUUCUGCAUAAGUCUAUAGCUGAGCACUAAAUCUGUAGUAUCCUUUCUACAUGCACCUUCUAAGCAUAAUCAAUGCGAUGAAAUUUGGUAAUUCGGCAAUGUUUGUAAUCAUAAAAUUUUAUAAUGGUUGGUUCCACUUGUAAUUCGAAAAUAUUUACAAGAGGAACCAUAUGUGCUACCAAAGACAUCAAUAUAAUUUAUAACUCCGGCCCAUAGUAUGAACAUCAAGAAACUAUUGAUAGCCAACAGGCAUUGCGACAAGAUUUCUCAUUUGCUAACAAGGCCAUAAACUAUUUAGUUGUGUAAAACUCUUGUAGAUAUAGUUUUAGAAUCUUUUUUGUUCGAUGUUCUUUCAGUUGUUGGAAUUUCAUCACUGUACAUAUUAAUUUCAAUAGGAUUUUAAAACUUUGUUAAAAAAAAUUCAUGUAAAAGAAUGAAUUGAUUGGAGCCUGUGAUCCCUUUGAGGAUUCUGCAAUCUCAUUAUCUUACAAAAUUUGGUCAUACAAGAAUGUUUAAGGAGAUUUUGGUAAAGAUACUUUAAGUAGAAAAUAUUAUAUUAUAUCUUAAAUUAAAUUCCAUAUAUAAUUCAAUUGUUUUUUUUUUCUGUUUUGGCAUUGAUUUUACUUUAUUGAAAAUCCGCAGGCCAACUUGUGAAAUCAGAGCAACUUGAAGACAAUGUCAUGAGGAAAAGGAGA